Molecule: transfer RNA, 77 nt
Filed under: Clostridia bacterium
Lineage: Bacteria; Bacillati; Bacillota; Clostridia
Also listed under: 2 other names
Description: tRNA-Asp
Rfam family: tRNA
About the family: Transfer RNA (tRNA) molecules are approximately 80 nucleotides in length. Their secondary structure includes four short double-helical elements and three loops (D, anti-codon, and T loops).
Source: RNAcentral
GGCCUGGUAGCUCAGUUGGUUAGAGCGCCGCCCUGUCACGGCGGAGGUCGUGGGUUCGAGCCCCAUCCGGGUCGCCA